Molecule: ribosomal RNA, 1357 nt
Filed under: Schizopterinae sp. UCR ENT 00096795
Lineage: Eukaryota; Metazoa; Arthropoda; Insecta; Hemiptera; Schizopteridae
Description: SSU rRNA
Rfam family: Eukaryotic small subunit ribosomal RNA
Source: RNAcentral
ACGGGUAACGGGGAAUCAGGGUUCGAUUCCGGAGAGGGAGCCUGAGAAACAGCUACCACAUCCAAGGAAGGCAGCAGGCACGCAAAUUACCCACUCCCGGCACGGGGAGGUAGUGACAAAAAAUAACGAUACGGGACUCAUCCGAGGCCCCGUAAUCGGAAUGAGUACACUUUAAAUCCUUUCAUGAGGAUCCAUUGGAGGGCAAGCCUGGUGCCAGCAGCCGCGGUAAUUCCAGCUCCAAUAGCGUAUAUUAAAGUUGUUGCGGUUAAAAAGCUCGUAGUUGGUUCUGUGUGCCAUGCUGUUGGUUCACCGCCUGUCGGUGCAACUAACAUGUCAUGGAACGUCUUGUCGGUGGUAAUUAAAGACUUAUUUGUUAGUACAAGUUUUACUUGAACUAAUAGUAAGUUCCUUUAAUUACCGAUUAGUUCCUACCGCGGUGCUCUUCAUUGAGUGUCGAGGUCGGCCGACAAGUUUACUUUGAACAAAUUAGAGUGCUUAAAGCAGGCAAAAGUCUGCCUUGAAUAGUAGUGCAUGGAAUAAUAGAAUAGGACCUUGGUUCUAUUUUGUUGGUUUUCUGAAUCCAAGGUAAUGAUCAAUAUGGACAGGCGGGGGCAUUCGUAUUGCGACGUUAGAGGUGAAAUUCUUGGAUCGUCGCAAGACGAACUAGAGCGAAAGCAUUUGCCAAGUAUGUCUUAAUUGAUCAAGAACGAAAGUUAGAGGUUCGAAGGCGAUCAGAUACCGCCCUAGUUCUAACCAUAAACGAUGCCAGCUAGCGAUCCGCCGAUGUUUUUCUCAUGACUCGACGGGCAGCUCCCCGGGAAACCAAAGCUUUUGGGUUCCGGGGGAAGUAUGGUUGCAAAGCUGAAACUUAAAGGAAUUGACGGAAGGGCACCACCAGGAGUGGAGCUUGCGGUUUAAUUUGACUCAACACGGGAAACCUUAUCAGGCCCAGACAUUGGAAGGAUUGACAGAUUGAUAGCUCUUUCUUGAUUCAAUGGGUAGUGGUGCAUGGCCGUCCUUAGUUGGUGGAACGAUUUGUCUGGUUAAUUCCGAUAACGAACGAGACUCUAGCAUACUAACUAGACGAUUGGUAUUUUUGCUACCAACGUUUUUAUUCUUCUUAGAGGGACAGGCGGCUUUUAGCCGCACGAGAUUGAGCAAUAACAGGUCAGGGAUGCCCUGAGAUGUUCUGGGCCGCACGCGUGCUACACUGAAGGAAUCAGCGUGUGUCUCCCUAUCCGAAAGGACCGGGUAACCCGCUGAACCUCCUUCGUGCUAGGAAUUGGGGCUUGCAAUUAUUCCCCAUAAACGAGGAAUUCCCAGUAAACGUGAGUCAUAAGCUCGUGUUGAUUACGUC